This is a long non-coding RNA of Gasterosteus aculeatus aculeatus (three-spined stickleback), 5914 nucleotides long. The record is from Ensembl. Lineage: Eukaryota; Metazoa; Chordata; Actinopteri; Perciformes; Gasterosteidae.
GAGUUUGGCCGGAGAAUCGGAGCAGCGGGGGCGGUAUUGCACCCGCUUUACCGCACCGUUGUGACGAAAAGAGAGCUGAGCCGGAAGGCAAAGCUCUCGAUCUACCGGUCAAUCUUCGUUCCUACCCUCACCUAUGGUCAUGAAGGAUGGGUCAUGACCGAAAGAACUAGGUCACAGGUACAAGCGGCCGAAAUGGGUUUUCCUCAGGAGAGUGACUGGUGUCUCCCUUAGGGAUAGGGUGAGAAGCUCAGCCAUUCGCGAGGAGCUUUCCUUUGCGUCGAAAGGAGCCAGUUGAGGUGGUUUAGGCAUCUGGUGAGGAUGCCCCCUAGGCGCCUCCCUAGGGAGGUGUUUCAGGCACGGCCAGCUGGAAAGAGGCCCCGGGGAAGACCCAGGACUAGGUGGAGAGAUUAUAUCUCUGCACUGGCCUGGGAACGCCUUGGGAUCCCCCAGUCAGAGCUGGUAGAUGUGGCCCGGGAAAGUGUGGGGUCCCCUGCUGGAGCUGUUGCCCCCGCGACCCGACCCCGGAUAAGCGGUUGAAGAUGGAUGGAUGGAUGGACAUUCAUAUAUGUUAUCCGUUUACAUGUCAUGGCAAAACAUUCAACCUCAGUGACACAAGGGUACAUCUGAUGAUACAUUGUCAACAUUGCAUGUCUGUCAGACUCAUCCACGAUUGUCUGGUGGAAUGGAGAAAGAGGCACCACUGUACAGUUUUCUAGGUUCUGCUGACACCAAAAUACUGCUUUACAUAAAGCAUAUCAGCUGUUUCAUUGCAAGUCCCAACCAUUUGUCUUCCUAAAAUACUGGUCCUUCCGUAUAACAAUAACCUUGUAUGUGAUUGGAGGACCCUUAGACUCCUCGUCCAAUCACGUGUGAGGUCAUAGGCAUGACUGAUACAGCAGUACUUGCAAGACGAGCAUACAAACAGUGUUACUAUAUUCAGAAGAACUGUAUCUCCAGUUCCUUUGUUUGGUUUUUGCUGGUUUGUGAAUAAUGGCUGGACGACGUCUCGCGUUCAACUCGCCUUCAACUCAUCUCCGCGGUCAGCAACUUUCGGCCAGUCCGCAGACAGACGAGAAGAAACUGCUGAAUGCUCUCAGUGGAUUGUCUCGCCAACUCCAACAACAAACUGCCGAUAUCAAUGAGCGUUCGGGACUCUCCAGGUUGCUGUCCAUAGAGGAGAGGUUUGCGGCGCGGGAGGAACUGACUCAAAGAAGAGGAGACUGGCGCUAGCGGAAGCGGUGCGCCGUCUUCACAACUCCGAGACGAAUUACAGGCGCUACGAACCGGAGCAAGGGUAAGAUUUAAAAAAUAUGCUUUCAUUCUGCGGUAUAAGGAAAUAUAUACAUAUAGAUACCAUAGGAUGGAUACCGAUCAUAACUGUACAUUUUGUUUUCACAGACUAAUCUCGCCUCAUAAUGAGGCGGUGACCUCGUAUUUGCUCCGGGAAAAGUCCAGAUUUCGAUUUAGAUAAAGACGUCAUUGUGUGUUAGUGACACUGUUUACAGUUUCUCCUUCCUUGUUAAAUGUUACUGUGACUUGCGUUUGAUUUUUUAUUCAUACCACUGUAGUGAAUGUGACUGCAUAAACUUCCACACCACACUCAUUUAAUUGUUUUCCAGCCGCCUGUAAGACGUAUUUUGAGACGGUACGCAGGAGCUUCAGGUUCUCCCAGCCGGAACACUCAUUGCGGGCGGAAGCUGCGAAGAAUUCAGCGCGGAGUCGAGCGAGAAGAAAGAGGCUGCUGGAAUCGAGACAAAGUGUGCUGGCUGAUGACGAGGUGGAACUCUGGAAAUCCGCCACCGUAGAGCUCAUGUCGGACGGAGAGGAUGGCGUUGUUUGCGGGGUCUCGGGGUGGAUUGUACGGUCGCCGCCAAAAUACAGAGCCACGCACACUAGGCGCCUGCACAACAGACCUGCCUCGGAAAACAUGCCGCCAGUGACAGUCUACAACCCCGAGGAGGCAAACGGACAGUUUACUGAGCUGUAGUUUUUUAAACCGCCUUUACCCAAGUGUGGGCAGAUCCUCACUUUGUAUAUAGUUGUUGUUUGUAUGUUGUUAAUAAAGCUCUUUCUUUGCAUAAACAUGUUCCUGGCAAAUGUUCAUUUUCUCUAUAAAUUCAUUGAUGUCCUGGAUGGUAUCCUAAUAAUAGUGUAGUAGCCUACAUAGGAUAACAAUGAAAUGAAUGUCCAGCAUAAUAUGAAUAUAUAAAUAUAUAUAAAUAAAAUGAGGCGGGUGACCAAUAGCGACAGAUCUGCCAACCAAUCACGAGUGAUUUGAAAGUUGUGGUUUCAUCACAAUCAUGAGCAAGGAAAACUCAAGCCUUGGUCUGCCCAGGUGUGGUUUUGCUGCCAAUCACGAGUGAUUUUACUUGUUUGAAAGAUGUGGUUUCAUCCAAUACGGAGUAGGGAUAUUUAAGCCCGCUCAGGCACCCGCGGUUUCGCUGUAUUCAUAUGCUAAUUUGGGCCAUUCGCACCUCCACCAGCUCUCCACAUACGCCUUGGAUUGUUUCCGACAAACACGACGUGCGCGGGUUGCAAAUUGUCGGAAAUGGUCGGAAAUUAGGGAGAUUUCCGGGCGUUUCCGGGGACGAAAAUCUCACUUUUCAUGCAGUGCAGUCCGUCAAGCUCCUGAAAUUUGCGGAUGACACCACCUUCGUUGGACUGAUCUCUGGUGGUGAUGAGUCCGCCUACAGGUGGGAAUCUGGUGUCGUGGUGCAGCCAGAACAACCUAGAGCUCAACGCCCUAAAGACAGUGGAGAUGGUUGUGGAUUUCCGGAGGAACAGAGCCCCACCUUCCCCCAUUACUCUGUGCGACUCCCCCGUCACUAUUGUGGAUUCCUUCCGUUUCCUGGGCUCCAUCAUCACCCAGGACCUCAAGUGGGAGCUGAACAUCAGCUCCAUCACCAAUAAGCAGCAGAGGUUGUUCUUCCUCAGGCAGCUGAAGAAAUUCAACCUGCCAAAGACGAUGAUGGUGCACUUUUACACGGCCAUCAUCGAGUCCAUCCUCUGCUCCUCCAUCACCGUCUGGUACGCUGCAGCCACAGCCAAGGACAAGGGCAGGCUGCAGCGUGUCAUCCGCUCUGCAGAGAGGGUGAUUUAGAUUAGAUUAGAUUCAACAACGAAAUGCAGUUUAACAUCCAACCAGAAGUGCAAAAUUGCAAAAAGUGCAGAGUAUGUGCAUAUGUAAAGUGUAAUAAGUGAAUAAAUAGAUAUGAUCGGCUGCAAUCUGCCGUCCCUGCAGGACUUGUUCGCUUCUAGGUCUCUGAAGAGAGCUAAAGAGAUCGUAGCCGACCCCUCUCACCCCGGACAAAACCUGUUUGUGCCCCUUCCAUCUGGCAAGUGUUUAACACUUAAAGUGAUAACAUUUAUGUACGUACAUUUGCAAAUGUACAUACUAAUUAUAAUGGUGAUGGUGGCCCAGAAGUGCAAAACACAACAGCAAAUAGGAAAACACAACGACAUCCACCAGAGGAUGGACCCUUCUGAUUGGACAGACGGACUGUCUGUCUUUUAACAGGAAAUGAGUACAGGGCUCUAAAGUAUCACGCAUUUCGGUCUCUUGUAACGCACUCCCGCCACACAUCCAAUUCCUCACGACAAGGAAUUGGAAUCCGGUCCCUGAGCCGUGUCGCCCGUAGUGUCCGCGGUACCCCUGCCCCCCCUUUUAUUUUACACACCUAAAUAUAAUUUACAUUUAUAAUAAACAACAAAACACCGGUAAAACAAUGGUGAAACACUAGUAGGACACUCGUAAAACAUCGCCAUCUCUCUGCUGCGGCUCUCCUUCUGCGCUCACUUCCACCCCUCAUCAUAGGCUCUCCCGCCACUGAUUUCUUGAUUUCUCAGCUUCCAGAAUCCGUGAGAAUUACGUUGAUUGUGCAAAUAGUUAAGGAGUCUCACGUUAAUUUGAAUCCUCCAUGUCACGGCGAAAGGCUUCGGACUGAGACGGUUCAAAGACAAACAGUCCGUCUGUCCAAUCAGAAUGGUCCGUCCACUGCUAGAUAGGCCCUACCCUUUCCGUACGAAGUUAAUGUCGUUGUGUUUUCCCAUUUGCCCUUGUGCCUCCUAUUUUUUGUUGUAUUUUUCUAUUUACUGUUGUUUUCUUAUUUGCCAUUGUGAUUAUCAGCUCCAUGGCAGCUACAAUUCACAUUGUAUUUACAAAACCUUCAGUUCAUCAGGUAAUUAGUGCCUUUCUCCGCCCAAUAUACUGCACAUUGCGAUCAUUAAAGAAAAUGCUGGCCGUGUAAAGCCUAACAUUAUUUUCAAACAGCAAUAUUGUCUCUUGAAUACUGGUUUAGGCAGCAAUUUACCUCAUAUUUUUAAGUCGAAACAACAUGUUAGAUUUUACAUUGUAUGAUUGGCUGAUCCCGUUUUCCUUACCCUAAAACUCCUCAUGACUAAACAGAACAAACAAAGGGGACAACUGUCAGCCAAUCAGACGUUCAGUAGUCGUUCAGUCAUGCUUAACCAUAGUAGGGAAAAAAUCAUAAAGGUGAAUAAAUCUUUUUCCGGACCAAUGAGAGCUUUUUUGGGAAUAUUGGUGUUCUGGAAUAAUAGCCUCUCGGAACAAGGGUCAGUCCCCCUCACAAGUGCUUGAGGGGAGGGGGAACUGCCCCAGAUAGUCACUAUCUUGUUGCUCUAUGAGGUAAUGUUGGAAUUCACAAAAGUUGGAAAUCUGUAUAUGCAUAUGUAUAACUCCACAAUGGGUGGGCCAGUAUCAUGCAUGGUAGCCCAUCAUCGGAGAUGAAAUAAUGAACAGGAGGCAAAUAAUCAAAGACUGUAAAAGCGAGACAGAUACAUUGCUGCCAACAUAUUUUUGACCGAUAGAUGUUCAGUUCUUAAUACAUUGCAAUAAGUCUCCUUUUAGGCUAUUGAGUUUUUCCAUACAUGACAAUUACAUCGCUAUUGUAAGCUGCUACAUAAAGCAAUAACCAAUUUAGUUCCCAAGUCCUGUGGCCAUCACACAGUAACUAAUAACAUCCAUCAUGGUAUUUUUUUGGGCCCUUGUUUUUGUGAAAGCUGUUCUUCUAGACUGAAAUACAACCCAGCUUUAUUGUGGCUAGAAACCAGUUCUGCUCCUGCUGCAACCAAAAAUUAAUGUUCUCUGUAAACCCAACCUAAGGAGGGUCUGACUAUGUUAUCAGAUUCAAGGUGCAAAUGCAGCAUAUAACAUGUUGGGAGGGAUCCGUAAAUUACAUUGAGACCCUUUAUAGCACUAGUUAAAUAUAUGCAUGGGAAUUCAGUCAACAUUAUGUACUGAGAUGAAUGUGUUGAUUGCAGGUGUGCAUUCCCACUUACUGUGAGAUUUCAGAAAACAGUUCUAGUGGCUUAAAGAUGGGUUUAUCAACUAAUUGUGCCCGUAGAUGUGGCUUGAGACCUUGAUGGAUUUUUCCAUUGUCUCUACUUUCACCGCUUAUGACUUAUUCAGUGAUUCAUUUUUAAUCAAAGCUGAAAUCAAAGAUGUCUGUUAGGCCAUUAACAGCCCAUAAUAUUUGGCUGUAACAAAUAAAACAUGUACUUUUUAUUUCAAAACGUGACAUGAGUGAAGUGAAAGCAAAUAGAUUUGAUUACUUUGUAAAUGGGGUGAUGAAAAGGUCAUACUUAUUGUACUGACAGUUUCUGUCAAAUGAUCCAUUAUCGUAGGCCCGCUGAGACUUAAAAAACACAUUCGGCAGGUACAUCUGCUCACUUGAAGACAGCCCAAUUUUAAAUUAAUCUCAUUGCAUAAUUCAAAGUUGUGACUAAGUCAGGCAUGUUAAAAAAGGCAUCUUAAAUUAUACCAUCCAAACUCUGGUGUCUCAUUAAUAUUACAGGAACUAUUCUUUGACUUGAUUUCAUUUACUUUAUCCAUCUGAGUGAGGACAAACGUCCCAGAAGGGAGGAAUUACAAAGGGUGAAAAUCACAUUUUAGGGU